This 76-nucleotide transfer RNA is filed under the name Armatimonadota bacterium. Its description in RNAcentral is "tRNA-Ile". It matches the Rfam family "tRNA". From Rfam's summary of the family: Transfer RNA (tRNA) molecules are approximately 80 nucleotides in length. Their secondary structure includes four short double-helical elements and three loops (D, anti-codon, and T loops). The record is from RNAcentral. Lineage: Bacteria; Bacillati; Armatimonadota.
CGGCGGGUAGCUCAACCGGCAGAGCGUCCCCCUGAUAAGGGGAAGGUUCCCGGUUCGAGUCCGGGCCCGCCGACUA